UAAGAGAUCCGUCGACUUUAAAAAUCGUGAGGGUUCAAGUCCCUCUAUCCCCA
RNAcentral lists this transfer RNA (53 nucleotides) under Rubia schumanniana. RNAcentral's name for it is "tRNA-Leu". Lineage: Eukaryota; Viridiplantae; Streptophyta; Magnoliopsida; Gentianales; Rubiaceae. The record is from RNAcentral.